AAAUUGGGGGGAAUAAAUAAAAAAUGAAAUGUGACCUGUGGCGUACUUAUAUUUAUAUGGCUUUUUCCAGUACGUUAAACAUAUUUUCAUCACCAAAACCUGUAAUUUGACUGGAGAUUUUCAAACAUUUGCAGACAACUUUGAUAGACAGACAGACAUAAAAAGAAAUUGAGUUACAGCAGCUAUGUGAGGGCUUUUAAGGGGUGUAUAUUGUAAGCCUGUUUAGUCAAAGGCUUGUGUGUUUGUGGCACCUCACCACUGUUCUCAAGUUCAGUAUGCAAGCUUUUUAUAAUAUAUCUGGCUUCAGAAGGUCAAGGCAACCCUAAAGCUUUUGUAUUGGUCUGUUUUGGUCAGGUCCUAAUAAAACUGCGAGGAGUCUGCUGAGUCACUGAUGUUCUGGUUUGGUGACCCUGCACCGAGGACACUGCAACUUUGCAAGAUCUGCCUGCAGCGAUGGCGCUGCAGCAUCACAGAAAAGCGGGCCUGUGAACACAGAGAGAGGCAGAGAAGCCAUUUAAAGGGCAACCCUACUACUGCAGCUUCACCUUAAAGAGUCGGUUGAAGGGGACACUGCUGGUUCAGGGUCACCCUGUUCAGCUCACUUGCUUAUAGGGAGGGUGGAGGGGCUUCUCAGCAGAGUUGAACACCUAAGAGGAAUGUGGGUCAGUUUCAUGUAUUUGGAGCAGACAGGCUUGUGCAAGUUGAUAUGCACUGCCGAGGCUGUAGAGGGCGCUGCAGACACUGGCCUGGAUCAGCUGGGCUUCUAGUGGUCUGUUACUGAAAGAACACGUGUGUGUGCUCGUUUUUGUUUGGCCUACAUAACCUUAUAUACGCUGACUCACUCUCUUUUCUAUAUAGGGGAAAGCCCCUAAUAAGGCCACAUCUAUGCCCCCUUUGUUGAGUAGGACUCCUUCAGUUGUCUAAUCACAUUUGUUUUGUCAUUUGUGUCUAUACUUAUUUUUUUAAAAAGCUGUAGAUAUUUCUGUCAGUGGAUCCUGAAGUUAAUACCUCUCUGUUAAACCCCUGACAAUCUCAGGCUUAUUACAAACUAAGGCUUAUUAUUCAGUAAUUACAGGGACUUUAAUGCAACCUAGCUGAGCUAUUCCUAGGUUAUAGAAGUGUGUGAUAAGACUUUGGGCCUGCCAUUGAGCCCUGGCCAGUGAAGGGGUUAAGUAUUGUGGUGGAAUGAAAACAGCAAACAAUAUUUUAUUUACAGGACGCCUACAAAUAUAAUGUAUGCUUACCAUGUAAGAAAUUAAGGGAAUGUGUGGACGGUGUCGUUAUGCUAAACUGUAGCUGGUUUUGCUUAAAAGUGUAAUAAAAACAUUUAAUGUCGUACAUAGUGAAGCAGAUCUCAUGUUUUAUUUUAAUUGUAAGUAGCAAAGCCAAGCGUUUCCUUUUCACUUCACCCAUGCUGAGCCCCUGGGGUUUUUCGUGCAGUCCUUUUAAAAUCAAUUGCUAAAAUCCAUAGCAGUGGGAUAGUAGGCAUAUUAGGGCUGCAGCAGCAAGUUGGAAUUUAAGCAUAUUCUGUAAUUACACAACAAAUUCACCAAUAAAUUCAGAAAUCGUAUUGAUUGCCCUAAUUAAUAACAAAAUAAUGUAUUUUUUCCUUAAAAUCAAUACAGGUUCCAUAUAUAGUAUGAACAAGGUUUCCUGAAUGGUGCAAGCAAAGUAGCAGUUGUAGUAUUAAUACUAUUCUCUAUAGAAUCUUCCAGAUAUGUAGAUUUGAUAUAGAGUUGCAUGCAGUCAUUUGAAAUCAAAUUACAUGUUUUAUUAAUUUUCUAAGUGAAAAUAAAGGGGCAGGCUAAAAUGUGGCAGUUUUUUCAAGUUUAGUGCACAGUUUCUGUUUAUUUGCAGUGUUUAACAUUAUAGAAAAAAUAAACAUAAAAUAUCAAAUGUGCCAUAACAGUAAUGACGCGUCAACCAGUUAAAUGGCCAGGGCCCCUGGCAGACCCAAAGUUUUAUUACACGCUCUUGUAACCUAGGGAAUAGCUCAGCCAGUUUGUACUGAAGUCUUUGUAGUUACUGAAUAAUACGCCUUAUUCGUAUGCUAUUAGGGGCGGCACGGUGGCGUGGUGGGUAGCGCUGUCGCCUCACAGCGAGGAGGGCGUGGGUUCGAUUCCCCGGCUGGGUGACCAGGGUCCUCUCUGUGUGGAGUCUGCAUGUUGGUUUCGUGGGUUUCCUCCGGGUUCUGCCCUGCGAUGGACUGGCGACCUGUCCAGGGUGUAUCCUGCCUUUCGCCCGAAGACUGCUAGGAUAGGCUCCAGCACCCCCCCACGACCCUGACAGAGAAGCAGCUUAGAAAAUGGAUGGAUGGAUGGAUGGAUGGAUGGAUGGAUGGAUAGUAUGCUAUUAGCCUGAGAUUUUAAAGGGUUAAAAUGUGCAGAAGUGUAGAUGAUGGGUUCACUUAUUUCACUCAGAAAAUCUGGCCAGGGGCAUGAAAACUUUUGCACAUGACUGUAUAUGUGCAGUACCGUGCAAAGUCAUGGGCACCUUGUUUUUGAACUAUUUAUCACUUUAUUUAAACAAUUUAUCUUGGAAGUAGUUGUGUUGAAAUGCCAUAUAUCAGUGGAAUAAAAAUAUACAUAAAUACUGUCAAGUAAAUUACAAUUUUCUUCGUCCAUCGCAAAGAUUUGUUCAGCUCAAUCAGCAGCGUUUAACAUUUAAAGUAUUAAUUACUAUUAAUACUAGGUUGCCCUGAGGAGAGGUAUAGAAAGUGUUAAACAAACACAUAAAAUUUGCAUUAAUGUGAGGUGUAUUUAUUCUAAUAUCAGUGGGGAUUUUGAGCAAAUAAACGGUUGCUGCUCAGAUAACUGCGUUUUGAGCUCUUAUGCUCUUUCCUGCCUGAAACAUUUGCACAGCCAUAUAUAUACAUUAUAUAUUGAUACAUGUCAACAUGUACGUCUUGACAUGCAAACCUAACUGAGACAUAAAAUGGAGAGCUAAUAUAGCCACAUAUUUCCACUUUGAUUUCCAUUUAUUGAUAUGCUUUGAUUGCCAUAGUUUCUACUGCAAGUUCCUUCUCUCAUUGUUGUGGCCAGUAAAGCCACAAGGUGGCAGGAUGUUCCCAGUUAACCCUUUAAGGUGGACAUGCAAAGCCCUGUGCAGGGAAAGUGUUCCUUCUAUGCCACAGUACUGCGUAAGGACACAGGGCCUGUAAAUGUUUAAAAUGGAAUUUAAAUCUCUCGUAUCAAUAAUUGAACUCAAACUUAUUUAAUAUAUUAUGCAGUUAGUAAUCAGAAGGCAGCAAUACUGCUGUGUGUGUGUGUGUGUGUGUGUGUGUGUGUGUGUGUGUUGGGGGUGUUGUGAACACAUAUGAAUGCAUUUACAACUCCCUUGUUAUCUUCUGCAUUGGCUAGCCUGAUGUAG
Long non-coding RNA from Pygocentrus nattereri (red-bellied piranha), 3369 nucleotides. The record is from Ensembl. Lineage: Eukaryota; Metazoa; Chordata; Actinopteri; Characiformes; Serrasalmidae.